RNAcentral lists this ribosomal RNA (279 nucleotides) under uncultured bacterium. RNAcentral describes it as "partial 16S ribosomal RNA". It matches the Rfam family "Bacterial small subunit ribosomal RNA", at positions 43 to 313 of the family's 1533-position model. The record is from RNAcentral.
CGGGAAUUCGAUUCAGGCCUAACACAUGCAAGUCGAGCGGCAGCGCGGGGCAACCUGGCGGCGAGCGGCGGACGGGUGAGGAAUACGUCGGAAUCUGCCAAUUCGUGGGGGAUGACGUAGGGAAACUUACGCUAAUACCGCAUACGUCCUACGGGAGAAAGUGGGGGAUCGCAAGACCUCACGCGAAUUGAUGAGCGGACGUCCGAUUAGCUAGUUGGUGAGGUAAUGGCUCACCAAGGCGACGAUCGGUAGCUGGUCUGAGAGGAUGAUCAGCCACAC